GAUGGAAGAACGCAGCGAAAUGCGAUAAGUAAUGUGAAUUGCAGAAUUCAGUGAAUCAUCGAAUCUUUGAACGCACAUUGCGCCCGCCAGUAUUCUGGCGGGCAUGCCUGUUCGAGCGUCAUUUCAACCAUCAAGCCCCCGGCUUGUGUUGGGGACCUGCGGCUGCCGCAGGCCCUGAAAACCAGUGGCGGGCUCGCUAGUCACUCCGAGCGUAGUAAUACAUCUCGCUCAGGGCGUGCUGCGGGUUCCGGCCGUUAAAAAAGCCUUAUUUACCCAAGGUUGACCUCGGAUCAGGUAGGAAGACCCGCUGAACUUAAGCAUAUCAAUAAGCGGAGGA
Molecule: unclassified non-coding RNA, 337 nt
Filed under: soil metagenome
Description: partial contains 5.8S ribosomal RNA, internal transcribed spacer 2, and large subunit ribosomal RNA
Rfam family: 5.8S ribosomal RNA (bases 5-121)
Source: RNAcentral